AUUGAACGCUGGCGGCAGGCUUAACACAUGCAAGUCGAGCGGUAGCACAGGGGAGCUUGCUCCCUGGGUGACGAGCGGCGGACGGGUGAGUAAUGUCUGGGAAACUGCCUGAUGGAGGGGGAUAACUACUGGAAACGGUAGCUAAUACCGCAUAACGUCGCAAGACCAAAGAGGGGGACCUUCGGGCCUCUUGCCAUCAGAUGUGCCCAGAUGGGAUUAGCUAGUAGGUGGGGUAAUGGCUCACCUAGGCGACGAUCCCUAGCUGGUCUGAGAGGAUGACCAGCCACACUGGAACUGAGACACGGUCCAGACUCCUACGGGAGGCAGCAGUGGGGAAUAUUGCACAAUGGGCGCAAGCCUGAUGCAGCCAUGCCGCAUGUGUGAAGAAGGCCUUCGGGUUGUAAAGCACUUUCAGCGAGGAGGAAGGUGGUGAGCUUAAUACGUUCAUCAAUUGACGUUACUCGCAGAAGAAGCACCGGCUAACUCCGUG
RNAcentral lists this ribosomal RNA (490 nucleotides) under uncultured bacterium. RNAcentral's name for it is "partial 16S ribosomal RNA". It matches the Rfam family "Bacterial small subunit ribosomal RNA", at positions 30 to 507 of the family's 1533-position model. The record is from RNAcentral.